Molecule: unclassified non-coding RNA, 413 nt
Filed under: soil metagenome
Description: partial contains 5.8S ribosomal RNA, internal transcribed spacer 2, and large subunit ribosomal RNA
Rfam family: 5.8S ribosomal RNA (bases 1-120)
Source: RNAcentral
GAUGAAGAACGUAGCGAAAUGCGAUAAGUAAUGUGAAUUGCAGAAUUCAGUGAAUCAUCGAAUCUUUGAACGCACCUUGCGCUCUUUGGUAUUCCGAAGAGCAUGCCUGGUUGAGUGUCAUGAAAAUAUCAACCUUGACUUGGGUUUUGUGCUCUAGUCUCGGCUUGGAAUUGGGUGCUUGCCGCUUUUACGAGCGGCUCACCUUAAAUGUAUUAGCUGGAUCUGUCUUUGAGACUUGGUUUGACGUGGCGUAAUAAGUAUUUCGCUAAGGACAUUCUUCGGAGUGGCCUCGUUUCUAGGACGCUUGUCCGCUUUCCAAUACAAGUUCCACCUCGUGGACAUGACUUUUUAUUAUCUGGCCUCAAAUCAGGUAGGACUACCCGCUGAACUUAAGCAUAUCAAUAAGCGGAGGA